Triticum aestivum (bread wheat) is the source of this 122-nucleotide non-coding RNA. The record is from Rfam. Lineage: Eukaryota; Viridiplantae; Streptophyta; Magnoliopsida; Poales; Poaceae.
CAUAUACUCUCUCCAUCCAGAAAUACUUGUAGACAUGGAUACAAAUGGGUGUAUUUAGAACUAAAAUACAUCUAGAUACAUCUACUCCUCGGACAAGUAUUUCCGGACAGAGGGAGUAAUAU